Molecule: small nucleolar RNA, 80 nt
Organism: Parambassis ranga (Indian glassy fish)
Lineage: Eukaryota; Metazoa; Chordata; Actinopteri; Ambassidae
Source: Ensembl
UGCUUACCAGUGAUGGUUUUAAAAAAAAUGUCUGAACAAAUGAUCUCACUGUGAUAUCAGCAUAUUCUCUGAGGUAAGCU